This 443-nucleotide ribosomal RNA is filed under the name uncultured bacterium. RNAcentral describes it as "bacterial SSU rRNA". It matches the Rfam family "Bacterial small subunit ribosomal RNA", at positions 64 to 524 of the family's 1533-position model. The record is from RNAcentral.
GAACGAUGAACCACUUCGGUGGGGAUUAGUGGCGAACGGGUGAGUAACACGUGGGCAAUCUGCCCUGCACUCUGGGACAAGCCCUGGAAACGGGGUAUAAUACCGGAUACGAGUUUCACAGGCAUCUGUGAUUAUGGAAAGCUCCGGCGGUGCAGGAUGAGCCCGCGGCCUAUCAGCUUGUUGGUGAGGUAACGGCUCACCAAGGCGACGACGGGUAGCCGGCCUGAGAGGGCGACCGGCCACACUGGGGCUGAGACACGGCCCAGACUCCUACGGGAGGCAGCAGUGGGGAAUAUUGCACAAUGGGCGAAAGCCUGAUGCAGCGACGCCGCGUGAGGGAUGACGGCCUUCGGGUUGUAAACCUCUUUCAGCAGGGAAGAAGCGAGAGUGACGGUACCUGCAGAAGAAGCGCCGUCUAACUACGUGCCAGCAGCCGCGGUAAU